Molecule: ribosomal RNA, 695 nt
Filed under: uncultured bacterium
Lineage: Bacteria
Description: bacterial SSU rRNA
Rfam family: Bacterial small subunit ribosomal RNA
Source: RNAcentral
GCUCAGACAUGCAGUCGAACGAUUAAAGCUCCCUUCGGGGAGUGCAUAGAGUGGCGUACGGGUGAGUAACACGUAAGUAAUCUACCCUCGAGUGGGGAAUAACAUCGGGAAAUCGGUGCUAAUACCGCAUAAUGCAGCGGCAUCAUAAGAUGACAGUUGUUAAAGGAGUAAUUCGCUUGAGGAGGAGCUUGCGGCAGAUUAGCUUGUUGGUAAGGUAAUGGCUUACCAAGGCUACGAUCUGUAUCCGGCCUGAGAGGGCGAUCGGACACACUGACACUGAAUAACGGGUCAGACUCCUACGGGAGGCAGCAGUCGGGAAUUUUGGGCAAUGGGCGAAAGCCUGACCCAGCAACGCCGCGUGAAGGAUGAAGUAUUUCGGUAUGUAAACUUCGAAAGAAUGGGAAGAAUAAAUGACGGUACCAUUUAUAAGCUCCGGCUAACUACGUGCCAGCAGCCGCGGUAAUACGUAGGGAGCAAGCGUUGUUCGGAUUUACUGGGCGUAAAGGGCGCGUAGGCGGCGCUGUAAGUCACUUGUGAAAUCUCCGGGCUUAACUCGGAACGGCCAAGUGAUACUGCAGUGCUAGAGUGCAGAAGGGGCAAUCGGAAUUCUUGGUGUAGCGGUGAAAUGCGUAGAUAUCAAGAGGAACACCUGAGGCGAAGGCGGGUUGCUGGGCUGACACUGACGCUGAGGCGCG